UCAUACUAGCUGGGGCGGUAGCGGUGCCCUGUACCUGAAAUCCGCUAUAUGCAGGGGUGAAUCCUAAUCUGAGGACUGGUUUUGUGUGGUCUUGCGCCAUUUGCGGAUGCGUUGACGAAUGAGUCUUGCGCAAUUUCCGGCUGUGAACCGUGUCAGGUGGGGGACCAAGCAGCACUAAGCAGUUUUGGAGAUGUGCCGUGAGGGUGCUUGUUCUGAGCAUACGCUCUUGGUUUGCGCAUGUAAAAUCAGCUCGAAUUUUAGGUGUAUGA
Molecule: signal recognition particle RNA, 269 nt
Filed under: Clostridia bacterium
Lineage: Bacteria; Bacillati; Bacillota; Clostridia
Description: signal recognition particle sRNA large type
Rfam family: Bacterial large signal recognition particle RNA
About the family: The signal recognition particle (SRP) is a universally conserved ribonucleoprotein involved in the co-translational targeting of proteins to membranes. Archaeal SRP consists of a 7S RNA and homologues of the eukaryotic SRP19 and SRP54 proteins.
Source: RNAcentral